UACAGAGGGGGCAAGCGUUGUUCGGAAUUACUGGGCGUAAAGGGCUCGUAGGCGGCCAACUAAGUCAGACGUGAAAUCCCUCGGCUUAACCGGGGAACUGCGUCUGAUACUGGAUGGCUCGAGUUUGGGAGAGGGAUGCGGAAUUCCAGGUGUAGCGGUGAAAUGCGUAGAUAUCUGGAGGAACACCGGUGGCGAAGGCGGCAUCCUGGACCAACACUGACGCUGAUGAGCGAAAGCCAGGGGAGCAAACGGG
RNAcentral lists this ribosomal RNA (253 nucleotides) under uncultured bacterium. RNAcentral describes it as "partial 16S ribosomal RNA". It matches the Rfam family "Bacterial small subunit ribosomal RNA", at positions 524 to 776 of the family's 1533-position model. The record is from RNAcentral.